RNAcentral lists this ribosomal RNA (590 nucleotides) under uncultured bacterium. RNAcentral's name for it is "bacterial SSU rRNA". It matches the Rfam family "Bacterial small subunit ribosomal RNA", at positions 338 to 918 of the family's 1533-position model. The record is from RNAcentral.
CCUACGGGAGGCAGCAGUAGGGAAUCUUCCGCAAUGGGCGAAAGCCUGACGGAGCAACGCUGCGUGAGUGAUGAAGGUCUUCGGAUCGUAAAACUCUGUUAUUAGGGAAGAACAAAUGUGUAAGUAACUAUGCACGUCUUGACGGUACCUAAUCAGAAAGCCACGGCUAACUACGUGCCAGCAGCCGCGGUAAUACGUAGGUGGCAAGCGUUAUCCGGAAUUAUUGGGCGUAAAGCGCGCGUAGGCGGUUUUUUAAGUCUGAUGUGAAAGCCCACGGCUCAACCGUGGAGGGUCAUUGGAAACUGGAAAACUUGAGUGCAGAAGAGGAAAGUGGAAUUCCAUGUGUAGCGGUGAAAUGCGCAGAGAUAUGGAGGAACACCAGUGGCGAAAGCGACUUUCUGGUCUGUAACUGACGCUGAUGUGCGAAAGCGUGGGGAUCAAACAGGAUUAGAUACCCUGGUAAUCCACGCCGUAAACGAUGAGUGCUAAGUGGUAGGGGGGUUUCCGCCCCUUAGUGCUGCAGCUAACGCAUUAAGCACUCCGCCUGGGGAGUACGACCGCAAGGUUGAAACUCAAAGGAAUUGACGGGG